CCAAAUAGUCCAUUAUUUGAGCUCAUACGGCGUGCAUUCGAAGUAAUUCUUUUGUGCGAAGCCCGUAAAAUAUAUAGUUUAUAACUAUCCAACCUUUUACCCUUCAGGCCAAGAGGAGUAAGUAUAAAGUAU
Molecule: non-coding RNA, 132 nt
Organism: Lasius niger
Lineage: Eukaryota; Metazoa; Arthropoda; Insecta; Hymenoptera; Formicidae
Source: Rfam